RNAcentral lists this ribosomal RNA (253 nucleotides) under uncultured bacterium. RNAcentral describes it as "partial 16S ribosomal RNA". It matches the Rfam family "Bacterial small subunit ribosomal RNA", at positions 524 to 776 of the family's 1533-position model. The record is from RNAcentral.
GACGAACCGAGCGAACGUUGUUCGGAAUCACUGGGCUUAAAGGGCGCGUAGGCGGGUUCACAAGUCCGGGGUGAAAUCCCACAGCUCAACUGUGGAACUGCCUCGGAUACUGGGUGCCUCGAGGGUGGUAGGGGUAUGCGGAACUAUCGGUGGAGCGGUGAAAUGCGUUGAUAUCGAUAGGAACUCCGGUGGCGAAGGCGGCAUACUGGACCACAUCUGACGCUGAGGCGCGAAAGCCAGGGGAGCGAACGGG